GUAUGAAUGGUUUGACAUUAUUGAACUGUAAAAUAUUAAAAAUAAGAAUUUAAAUUUUGAGUAAAAAUGCUUAAAUUUAGUAAAGGGACGAUAAGACCCUAAAAUCUUUAUUUGUAUAAUAUUGUUAGAAAGUUAAGAAAUAAAUUUUAACUGGGGAAGUAAAUAUAGUAUAAUUGUAUUUAAAAAAACAUCUGGAUAGAGGAGCUUUUUAUAAAAAUAAUUAGGUUUAGUUACUUUAGGGAUAACAGCAUAAUAAUUUUGGAAAGUCCUUAUUUAUGAAAUUGAUUAUGACCUCGAUGUUGAAUUAAAAUUUUUUAUUGAGGAAUAAGGCAAUAAAAAAGGUUUGUUCAACCUUUAAAUUUUUACAUGAUUU
This 373-nucleotide ribosomal RNA is filed under the name Caleidoscopsis sp. BOLD:ACZ2328. RNAcentral's name for it is "partial 16S ribosomal RNA". Lineage: Eukaryota; Metazoa; Arthropoda; Malacostraca; Amphipoda; Pardaliscidae. The record is from RNAcentral.